Molecule: ribosomal RNA, 216 nt
Filed under: Glomus sp.
Lineage: Eukaryota; Fungi; Glomeromycota; Glomeromycetes; Glomerales; Glomeraceae
Description: partial small subunit ribosomal RNA
Rfam family: Eukaryotic small subunit ribosomal RNA (bases 39-216)
Source: RNAcentral
GGAUCAAUUUGUUGGUCGUGCCUUUGGUGCGUACUGGCAUUAUUGGUUUCUCCCUUCUGACGAACCACGAUGUCAUUAAUUUGGUGUUGUGGGGAAUCAGGACUGUUACUUUGAAAAAAUUAGAGUGUUUAAAGCGGGCUCACGCUUGAAUACAUUAGCAUGGAAUAAUGAAAUAGGACGUUUGAUUCUAUUUUGUUGGUUUCUAGGAUCGACGUA